RNAcentral lists this ribosomal RNA (577 nucleotides) under uncultured bacterium. RNAcentral describes it as "partial 16S ribosomal RNA". It matches the Rfam family "Bacterial small subunit ribosomal RNA", at positions 355 to 932 of the family's 1533-position model. The record is from RNAcentral.
UGGGGAAUUUUGGACAAUGGGCGAAAGCCUGAUCCAGCAAUGCCGCGUGUGUGAAGAAGGCCUUCGGGUUGUAAAGCACUUUUGUCCGGAAAGAAAUCCUCUGGGUUAAUACCUCGGGGGGAUGACGGUACCGGAAGAAUAAGCACCGGCUAACUACGUGCCAGCAGCCGCGGUAAUACGUAGGGUGCAAGCGUUAAUCGGAAUUACUGGGCGUAAAGCGUGCGCAGGCGGUUUUGUAAGACGGAUGUGAAAUCCCCGGGCUUAACCUGGGAACUGCAUUCGUGACUGCAAGGCUAGAGUAUGGCAGAGGGGGUAGAAUUCCACGUGUAGCAGUGAAAUGCGUAGAGAUGUGGAGGAAUACCGAUGGCGAAGGCAGCCCCUGGGCCAAUACUGACGCUCAUGCACGAAAGCGUGGGGAGCAAACAGGAUUAGAUACCCUGGUAGUCCACGCCCUAAACGAUGUCAACUAGUUGUUGGGGAUUCAUUUCCUUAGUAACGUAGCUAACGCGUGAAGUUGACCGCCUGGGGAGUACGGUCGCAAGAUUAAAACUCAAAUGAAUUGACGGGGUCAUAGCUG